GUAAGACGAACAAAAAGUUUUU
RNAcentral lists this microRNA (22 nucleotides) under Danio rerio (zebrafish). Its description in RNAcentral is "Dre-Mir-208-P1_3p (mature (guide))". Lineage: Eukaryota; Metazoa; Chordata; Actinopteri; Cypriniformes; Danionidae. The record is from RNAcentral.